This is a long non-coding RNA of Nomascus leucogenys (northern white-cheeked gibbon), 304 nucleotides long. RefSeq lists it as uncharacterized. The transcript has 2 exons. The record is from RefSeq and is a predicted model, not a curated record. NCBI's taxonomy places the organism in Eukaryota, Metazoa, Chordata, Mammalia, Primates, Hylobatidae.
CAGGCAGGCCUUAGGAACAAGCUGCCUGAUGUGCAGGGUUUCAUAGGCGGUUAAGAGAGGGCAUCCUGGAGGAGCCCUGGCAUCAGGAAGCCAGAAAGGGAAAACAGAGCCAAGUUUGGCCACUGGGGCCUCCACAGCCCUCUGGAAGAAGGGGCUGACUGACAGGAAGGCACUCCUCUGGUGUUCACUGGCCAGACCCCUGUGGGCUCAGAAGACUACCUAGACCCAUGAAGAAAGACUCUAGACACAUUUUUAUAAUCAGAAACUUAGUUUAUUGUGAAUAAACCACUCAACUUUGAGCAGA